Molecule: ribosomal RNA, 434 nt
Filed under: uncultured Lachnospiraceae bacterium
Lineage: Bacteria; Bacillati; Bacillota; Clostridia; Lachnospirales; Lachnospiraceae
Description: bacterial SSU rRNA
Rfam family: Bacterial small subunit ribosomal RNA
Source: RNAcentral
ACGGAAGGCAGCAGUGGGGAAUAUUGGACAAUGGGGGAAACCCUGAUCCAGCGACGCCGCGUGAGUGAAGAAGUAUUUCGGUAUGUAAAGCUCUAUCAGCAAGGAAGAAAAUGACGGUACUUGACUAAGAAGCCCCGGCUAACUACGUGCCAGCAGCCGCGGUAAUACGUAGGGGGCAAGCGUUAUCCGGAUUUACUGGGUGUAAAGGGAGCGUAGACGGCAUAGCAAGUCUGAAGUGAAAUGUAGGGGCUUAACCCCUGAACUGCUUUGGAAACUGUUAGGCUUGAGUACCGGAGGGGCAGGCGGAAUUCCUGGUGUAGCGGUGAAAUGCGUAGAUAUCAGGAAGAACACCGGUGGCGAAGGCGGCCUGCUGGACGGUAACUGACGUUGAGGCUCGAAAGCGUGGGGAGCAAACAGGAUUAGAUACCUUGGUA